RNAcentral lists this ribosomal RNA (494 nucleotides) under uncultured bacterium. RNAcentral describes it as "bacterial SSU rRNA". It matches the Rfam family "Bacterial small subunit ribosomal RNA", at positions 903 to 1397 of the family's 1533-position model. The record is from RNAcentral.
AAAGGAAUAGACGGGGGCCCGCACAAGCGGUGGAGCAUGUGGCUUAAUUCGAUGCAACGCGAAGAACCUUACCUGGCCUUGACAUGCACUGGACCGGACGUGAAAGCGUCCUUUCCUUCGGGACCGGUGCACAGGUGCUGCAUGGCUGUCGUCAGCUCGUGUCGUGAGAUGUUCGGUUAAGUCCGGCAACGAGCGCAACCCCUGUUCCUAGUUGCCAGCGCGUAAUGGCGGGGACUCUAGGGAGACAAACCUGUUUUGCAGGUGGGAAGGUGGGGAUGACGUCAAGUCAGUAUGGCCCUUACGGCCAGGGCUGCACACGUGCUACAAUGCCCGGCACAGAGGGAAGCGAAACCGCGAGGUGAAGCAAAUCCCAAAAACCGGGCCCAGUUCGGAUCGGAGUCUGCAACUCGACUCCGUGAAGCCGGAAUCGCUAGUAAUGCUGCAUCAGCUACGGCAGCGUGAAUACGUUCCCGGGCCUUGUACACACCGCCCGU